UUUCCGUAGGUGAACCUGCGGAAGGAUCAUUAACGAGUUUUGGAAAGGGGUUGUAGUUGGCCAAAAACAAAGGUUUGUGCAAACCCUUCUCAAUUCCACUCUCACACCCCGGUGCACCUACUGUUGGCUCUGGUCCGAUCGCUGACUUCGGUUGGUUUGACUGCCUUGCUUAUGUUAUUACUAACGCGUCAGUUAAAGAAUGUCAUACCGCGUAUAACGCAUUAAAUACAACUUUCAACAACGGAUCUCUUGGCUCUC
This 258-nucleotide unclassified non-coding RNA is filed under the name plant metagenome. Its description in RNAcentral is "partial contains small subunit ribosomal RNA, internal transcribed spacer 1, and 5.8S ribosomal RNA". The record is from RNAcentral.